Non-coding RNA from Misgurnus anguillicaudatus (oriental weatherfish), 545 nucleotides. The record is from RefSeq and is a predicted model, not a curated record. Lineage: Eukaryota; Metazoa; Chordata; Actinopteri; Cypriniformes; Cobitidae.
ACAGGGGUGGAGAGCGCUGAGUCAGAAGAGAGCUAAAAUGGCGGAGGUUGGGAGUCCCUGCUUUGACCCUGUUUGCAAACUCUUGUUUCAUUGUUUAAGCGAUUAAAUCUCUCGAGUAGACGCUGUCUCUUUAGAUGCAAGGGCAAAAUAGCACUUUAUGGACUAACACAGAGGACAUCAUGUUUAAUACGGUUCCGGAAAAAUCCAGUCAGAAGUUGUUCACGGAGUUUUCACAAUAACUGCUUCUCAUGAACCAAAGCUGCGCGACGUCUCCUCCUGAAAGUUGGAUUACCGUGCACUUCUGGAUCACAGGCUAUUCGCAGCUGGACACAUCCUUCUACACUGUAUGCAAACAUGCAACAUCAUUACACACAGUACAAGGCAUAUGAGGAGCAAAGGAACCCAGGCAGUAGCAUCGUUUCACAAUGUUUCAAUCACCAUCAUCAGUGGAUGCCUUUGCCGUCCCUAGCCUGAGAUUUCAGAUUUGCAGCAAAAAAUGUGACUUUCCCAUUUAUUGGAAUGCUGUGCAGGUAUUUAGGUAUUUU